RNAcentral lists this ribosomal RNA (253 nucleotides) under uncultured bacterium. RNAcentral's name for it is "partial 16S ribosomal RNA". It matches the Rfam family "Bacterial small subunit ribosomal RNA", at positions 524 to 776 of the family's 1533-position model. The record is from RNAcentral.
GACAGAGGGUGCAAACGUUGCUCGGAAUUACUGGGCGUAAAGCGCGUGUAGGCGGUUCCGCAAGUCAGGUGUGAAAGCCCAGGGCUCAACCCUGGAAGUGCACUUGAUACGACGGAGCUUGAGUACUGAAGAGGAGAGCGGAAUUCCCGGUGUAGAGGUGAAAUUCGUAGAUAUCGGGAGGAACACCAGUGGCGAAGGCGGCUCUCUGGGCAGAUACUGACGCUGAGACGCGAAAGCAUGGGGAGCAAACAGG